CACGUAGGCGGCUUCUUAAGUCAGGGGUGAAAUCCUGGAGCUCAACUCCAGAACUGCCUUUGAUACUGAGAAGCUUGAGUCCGGGAGAGGUGAGUGGAACUGCGAGUGUAGAGGUGAAAUUCGUAGAUAUUCGCAAGAACACCAGUGGCGAAGGCGGCUCACUGGCCCGGUACUGACGCUGAGGUGCGAAAGCGUGGGGAGCAAACA
RNAcentral lists this ribosomal RNA (207 nucleotides) under uncultured bacterium. RNAcentral describes it as "partial 16S ribosomal RNA". It matches the Rfam family "Bacterial small subunit ribosomal RNA", at positions 568 to 774 of the family's 1533-position model. The record is from RNAcentral.